This 426-nucleotide ribosomal RNA is filed under the name uncultured Actinomycetes bacterium. Its description in RNAcentral is "bacterial SSU rRNA". It matches the Rfam family "Bacterial small subunit ribosomal RNA", at positions 233 to 671 of the family's 1533-position model. The record is from RNAcentral. Lineage: Bacteria; Bacillati; Actinomycetota; Actinomycetes.
GCGGCCUAUCAGCUUGUUGGUGAGGUAAUGGCUCACCAAGGCAACGACGGGUAGCCGGCCUGAGAGGGCGACCGGCCACACUGGGACUGAGACACGGCCCAGACUCCUACGGGAGGCAGCAGUGGGGAAUAUUGGGCAAUGGACGCAAGUCUGACCCAGCGACGCCGCGUGCGGGAUGAAGGCCUUCGGGUUGUAAACCGCUUUCAGCAGGGAAGAAGCGAAAGUGACGGUACCUGCAAAAGAAGCACCGGCUAACUAUGUGCCAGCAGCCGCGGUAAUACAUAGGGUGCAAGCGUUGUCCGGAAUUAUUGGGCGUAAAGAGUUCGUAGGUGGUUCGUUACGUCGGAUGUGAAAAUCUGGGGCUCAACCCCAGACCUGCAUUCGAUACGGGCGAGCUAGAGUUUGGUAGGGGAGACUGGAAUUCCU